AGAGUUUGAUCAUGGCUCAGGAUGAACGCUGGCGGUAUGCUUAACACAUGCAAGUCGAACGGAACUCUUUGGAGUUUAGUGGCGGACGGGUGAGUAACGCGUGAGAAUCGGCCCCCAGGUUGGGGACAACCACUGGAAACGGUGGCUAAUACCGAAUAAGCCGAAAGGUGAAAGAUUAAUUGCCUGGGGAAGAGCUCGCGUCUGAUUAGCUAGUUGGUGGGGUAAAGGCCUACCAAGGCACCGAUCAGUAACUGGUCUGAGAGGAUGGCCAGUCACACUGGGACUGAGACACGGCCCAGACUCCUACGGGAGGCAGCAGUGGGGAAUUUUCCGCAAUGGGCGAAAGCCUGACGGAGCAAUACCGCGUGGGGGAGGAAGGCUCUUGGGUCGUAAACCUCUUUUCUCAGGGAAGAACAAAAUGACGGUACCUGAGGAAUCAGCAUCGGCUAACUCCGUGCCAGCAGCCGCGGUAAUACGGAGGAUGCAAGCGUUAUCCGGAAUGAUUGGGCGUAAAGCGUCCGCAGGUGGCAGUGUAAGUCUGCUGUCAAAGGUCAGGGCUCAACCCUGAACAGGCAGUGGAAACUACACAGCUAGAGUGCGGUGGGGGCAGAGGGAAUUCCCAGUGUAGCGGUGAAAUGCGUAGAGAUUGGGAAGAACACCGGUGGCGAAAGCGCUCUGCUAGGCCGCAACUGACACUCAUGGACGAAAGCUAGGGGAGCGAAUGGGAUUAGAUACCCCAGUAGUCC
Molecule: ribosomal RNA, 746 nt
Filed under: uncultured cyanobacterium
Lineage: Bacteria; Bacillati; Cyanobacteriota
Description: bacterial SSU rRNA
Rfam family: Bacterial small subunit ribosomal RNA
Source: RNAcentral